This 68-nucleotide transfer RNA is filed under the name Ochotona thibetana (Moupin pika). Its description in RNAcentral is "tRNA-Trp". Lineage: Eukaryota; Metazoa; Chordata; Mammalia; Lagomorpha; Ochotonidae. The record is from RNAcentral.
AGAAGUUUAGGUUAAACCAGACCAAGAGCCUUCAAAGCUCUAAGCAAGUAAUAUCUACUUAACUUCUG